ACUGCCAGAAGCUUCCCCUGUGUCCAGUGGAUUCAAUGAUGGUGGGCUCUAAGGCUCUAAGGCAAGGGCAAGUCCUUGGAGUUAGCGCCUCGGGGAUAACAUAGUUAAGAAGAGGGAAAAGUUACUGACAACAGCAAUUGCAGCCAGAGAAAGGAGUGAGAAUAUAUGAGGGAAACAGCCCUGCAGACCCUAAGGACAGUGAAGAAAAAACCAAACAAACAAAACAUAAAAGAUCUGUUGCUUUGAAUACAAGAAGCACUGUUUCUCUGCAAGUGUUUUCUACAAGGGAAAGUUGCAAGGGCAGCAUUUGUGAGCUUUAAAUGAUGAGUGCAGAACUGCCUAUCUUCCCCAAUCAAUGAUUCUUUCAGUGAAUAUGAUCAUGAAGGAAACUGAAUUCCUAUCUAAUUGGUGCAUGCAUUGACUCUUAGAAGUUAACGGUAACCCAGGCAGAAUCAAAAGCAACUUCUGCUGGUUUUUGGUGGGCUUUAUGAAGGAAGCUGGAGGCAGUUCUCAUUAGUCUCACUGACAUCUUUUAUCACUUAUCAGAGGAACAAGCAAACGGAGAGCAAUUCCUUUGAUCAUGGCAAAAGUAGAAAGAGUAUUAAAAACCCUAUGAAGAUUCACUAAGUAGAAAGUAGAAAAGACAGUCUGUGGCAUGUUUCAAAGAAGUAACAUGAUUUAAAGUUGCCAGAUUUACUGGUAUAUAUUAAAGAAUUGUUAAUGAUGCUACAUUUCACAUGCAUCCUUAGGUCCUU
Molecule: long non-coding RNA, 755 nt
Organism: Pezoporus flaviventris
Lineage: Eukaryota; Metazoa; Chordata; Aves; Psittaciformes; Psittacidae
Exons: 2
Source: RefSeq, a predicted model, not a curated record